Molecule: ribosomal RNA, 477 nt
Filed under: uncultured bacterium
Lineage: Bacteria
Description: partial 16S ribosomal RNA
Rfam family: Bacterial small subunit ribosomal RNA
Source: RNAcentral
AUUGAACGCUGGCGGCAUGCCUUACACAUGCAAGUCGAACGGUAACAGGUUAAGCUGACGAGUGGCGAACGGGUGAGUAAUGUAUCGGAACGUGCCCAGUCGUGGGGGAUAACUGCUCGAAAGAGCAGCUAAUACCGCAUACGACCUGAGGGCGAAAGCGGGGGAUCGCAAGACCUCGCGCGAUUGGAGCGGCCGAUAUCAGAUUAGGUAGUUGGUGAGGUAAAGGCUCACCAAGCCGACGAUCUGUAGCUGGUCUGAGAGGACGACCAGCCACACUGGGACUGAGACACGGCCCAGACUCCUACGGGAGGCAGCAGUGGGGAAUUUUGGACAAUGGGCGCAAGCCUGAUCCAGCCAUGCCGCGUGCGGGAAGAAGGCCUUCGGGUUGUAAACCGCUUUUGUCAGGGAAGAAAAGGUUCUGGCUAAUACCUGGGACUCAUGACGGUACCUGAAGAAUAAGCACCGGCUAACUACGUG